UACGUAGGGUCCGAGCGUUGUCCGGAAUCACUGGGCGUAAAGCGCACGUAGGCGGAUUGCUAAGUCAGGGGUGAAAUCCUGGAGCUCAACUCCAGAACUGCCUUUGAUACUGGUGAUCUUGAGUCCGGGAGAGGUGAGUGGAACUGCGAGUGUAGAGGUGAAAUUCGUAGAUAUUCGCAAGAACACCAGUGGCGAAGGCGGCUCACUGGCCCGGUACUGACGCUGAGGUGCGAAAGCGUGGGGAGCAAACAGG
This 253-nucleotide ribosomal RNA is filed under the name uncultured bacterium. RNAcentral describes it as "partial 16S ribosomal RNA". It matches the Rfam family "Bacterial small subunit ribosomal RNA", at positions 524 to 776 of the family's 1533-position model. The record is from RNAcentral.